AGCGAACGCUGGCGGUAGGCCUAACACAUGCAAGUCGAACGGAUGCACAGUAAGAGCUUGCUCUUACGGGUGGCGAGUGGCGGACGGGUGCGGUGUACAUCGGAGUUUACUUUUUCGUGGGGGCUCACGUAGGGAAGCUUACUUUAAUAUCGCAUCCGACCUCAGGUUGUCAGAGGGGGAUUUUCGGCCCUUGCGCGAUUGUCUGAGCUGAUGUAGGAUUAGUUAGUUGGAGGGGUAAAGGCCCACCAAGGCGAGGCUCCGUUGCUGAUCUUAAAGAAUGAUCAGACACACUAGAACUGAGACACGAUCCAGACACCUACGGAAGGCAGCAGUGGGGAAUAUUGGACAAUGGGCGCAAGCCUGAUCCAGCCAUACCGGGUGGGUGAAGAAGGCCUUCGGGUUGUAAAGCCCUUUUGUUGGGAAAGAAAAGCAGCAGGUUAAUACCCCGCUGUUCUGACGGUACCCAAAGAAUAAGCACCGGCUAACUUCGUG
RNAcentral lists this ribosomal RNA (492 nucleotides) under uncultured bacterium. Its description in RNAcentral is "partial 16S ribosomal RNA". It matches the Rfam family "Bacterial small subunit ribosomal RNA", at positions 29 to 507 of the family's 1533-position model. The record is from RNAcentral.